CACUCAUCCAGAGGGGCAGAGGGAUACGGCCCGAUGAAGCCCCGGCAACCACUGAUGAUGAUCUCUUUCUCGUUGUAGAGGCCUAUGCCUCCGACCGCGAGGCCGAUCAUCAGCAGGUGCCCCGUCCGUCCCGCUCCGGCGGGAAAGAUGAGAC
RNAcentral lists this non-coding RNA (154 nucleotides) under Nakamurella panacisegetis. Its description in RNAcentral is "SAM-I sequence". It matches the Rfam family "SAM riboswitch aptamer (S box leader)". Rfam says of the family: The SAM riboswitch is found upstream of a number of genes which code for proteins involved in methionine or cysteine biosynthesis in Gram-positive bacteria. Lineage: Bacteria; Bacillati; Actinomycetota; Actinomycetes; Nakamurellales; Nakamurellaceae. The record is from Rfam by way of RNAcentral.